This 480-nucleotide ribosomal RNA is filed under the name uncultured bacterium. Its description in RNAcentral is "partial 16S ribosomal RNA". It matches the Rfam family "Bacterial small subunit ribosomal RNA", at positions 28 to 507 of the family's 1533-position model. The record is from RNAcentral.
GACGAACGCUGGCGGCGUGCUUAACACAUGCAAGUCGAACGAUGAAGAAAAGAAUCGCAGCUUCGGCAGAAAUUCAUUUCGGAUUAGUGGCAGACGGGUGAGUAACGCGUGAGCAACCUACCUCUUACAAAGGGAUAGCCUCGGGAAACCGGGAUUAAUACCAUAUAACAUCGCGACGAAGCAUUUCGAUGCAAUCAAAGCUACGGCGGUAAGAGAUGGGCUCGCGUCCCAUUAACCGGAUGGUGAGGUAACGGCUCACCAUAGUGACGAUGGGUAACCGGCCUGAGAGGGUGAACGGUCACACUGGAACUGAGACACGGUCCAGACUCCUACGGGAGGCAGCAGUGGGGAAUAUUGCACAAUGGAGGGAACUCUGAUGCAGCGACGCCGCGUGAGUGAUGAAGGAAUUCGUUUCGUAAAACUCUGUUCUAUGGGAAGAAAAGGACUGUACCAUAGGAGAAAGCGCCGGCUAAAUACGUG